Molecule: ribosomal RNA, 484 nt
Filed under: uncultured bacterium
Lineage: Bacteria
Description: partial 16S ribosomal RNA
Rfam family: Bacterial small subunit ribosomal RNA
Source: RNAcentral
AUUGAACGCUGGCGGCAGGCCUAACACAUGCAAGUCGAGCGGAUGAAGGGAGCUUGCUCCUGGAUUCAGCGGCGGACGGGUGAGUAAUGCCUAGGAAUCUGCCUGGUAGUGGGGGAUAACGUCCGGAAACGGGCGCUAAUACCGCAUACGUCCUGAGGGAGAAAGUGGGGGAUCUUCGGACCUCACGCUAUCAGAUGAGCCUAGGUCGGAUUAGCUAGUUGGUAGGGUAAAGGCCUACCAAGGCGACGAUCCGUAACUGGUCUGAGAGGAUGAUCAGUCACACGGGAACUGAGACGCGGUCCAGACUCCUACGGGAGGCAGCAGUGGGGAAUUUUGCGAAGAGGGCGAAAGCCUGACCCAGCCAUGCCGCGUGAGGGAUGAAGGUCUUCGGAUUGUAAAACUCUGUUAGUGGGGAAGAAGGAAUGUGAAAGAAACUAUGCUUGUUUUGACGUUACCAAAAAAAAAAGCCCCGGCUAACUUCGUG